RNAcentral lists this long non-coding RNA (1385 nucleotides) under Junco hyemalis (dark-eyed junco). RNAcentral describes it as "lncRNA (ENSJHYG00000001282.1)". Lineage: Eukaryota; Metazoa; Chordata; Aves; Passeriformes; Passerellidae. The record is from RNAcentral.
UUUCUACCAAGUCCUUUCCCACUUUCUCCCCAGUCUCUGCUCAGUUCUUUCCCAGUUUCUCCCCAGUUCUUUCCCAGUUUCUCCCCAGUUCCUUCCCAGUUUCUGCUCAGCUCUUUCCCAGUUUCUCCCCAGUUUCUGCCCAGUUCUUCCCCAUUUUCUGCUCAGCUCUUUCCCAGUUUCUCCCCAGUUUCUGCUCAGCUCUUUCCCACUUUCUCCCCAGUUUCUACUCCAUUUCUGCCCAGUUUCCACCCAGUUUCUACCAAGUCCUUUCCCACUUUCUCCCCAGUUUCUGCCCAGUCUCUGCUCAGUUCUUUCCCAGUUUCUCCCCAGUUCUUUCCCAGUUCCUGCCCAAUUUCUUCCCAGUUUCUCCCCAGUUUCUACUCCAUUUCUGCCCAGUUUCCACCAAGUCCUUUCCCACUUUCUCCCCACUUUCUGCCCAGUCCCUUCCCAGCUCCUGCCCAAUUCUUACCCAGUUUCUACUCCAUUUUUGCCCAGUUCCUGCCCAUUUUCUACCCAGUUUCUGCCCAGGUCUUUCCCAGUUCCUGCCCAGUUUCUUCCCAUUUCCUGCCCAGUUAUUUCCCAGUUUCUGUCCAGUUUCUCCCAAGUUCUUCCUCACUUUCUGCCCAUUUCCUGCCCAUUUCUGCCCAUUUCUUGCCAUUUCUGCCCAGUUUCCAGCUCCGCCCAGUUUCUACCCAGUUUCUGCUCAGUCUCUGCCCAGUUUCUACCCAGUUCUUUCCCAGUUUCUACCCAGUUCUUUCCCAGUUUCUGCUCAGUACUUUCCCAGUUCCUGCCCAAUUUCUUCCCAGCUUUUACCCAGUUUCUGCCCAGUUCUUUCCCAGUUUCUCCCCAGUUCUUUCCCAGUUUUUACCCAGUUUCUACCCAAUUUCUGCCCAGUCCCUGCCCAUUUCCUGCCCACUUUCGCAGGAAACCGGCCGGGAAUGUCGCAAUCCCGGGCAGGGACACGCCCGUCCUGUGUCCCCUUUGUGUCCCCUUUGUGUCCCCUCGGAGCUGGGACAUUCCCGGAGCCGGGUUUGGCUCGGGUGACUCAUUCCAGGCGGGAUUGGCACCGGGAUUGUCCCGGGAUCGGCACCGGGAUUGGCACCGGGAUUGGCACCGGGAUUGGCACCGCCCGCGCCACCUUUGCACCCCCGGGGCCGCUGCCAAGCGAAACCCAGGCGGGAAAAUCGGGAUCGGGAGGGGAAAAUCGGGACUUUUUUGGGGAAAAUGGGGAUUUAGGAGGAAAAAAUCGGGAUUUAGGGGGGAAAAACGGGAUUUUUUUGGGGGAAAAACGGGAUUUUUUGGGGGGAAAAUCGGGAUUUAGGGGGGAAAAAAAUCGGGAUUUUGGGGGAAAAAAAUCGGGAUUUGGGGGGAAGAAAAUCGGGGUU